This 253-nucleotide ribosomal RNA is filed under the name uncultured bacterium. RNAcentral's name for it is "partial 16S ribosomal RNA". It matches the Rfam family "Bacterial small subunit ribosomal RNA", at positions 524 to 776 of the family's 1533-position model. The record is from RNAcentral.
UACGAAGGUGGCAAGCGUUGUUCGGAUUUACUGGGCGUAAAGGGAGCGUAGGUGGUUAGGUAAGCCCUCCGGGAAAUCUUCAGGCUUAACCUGAAAAGGUCGGGGGGGACUGCCUAGCUAGAGGGCGGGAGAGGAGCGCGGAAUUCCCGGUGUAGCGGUGAAAUGCGUAGAGAUCGGGAGGAAGGCCGGUGGCGUAGACGGCUCUCUGGACCGUAACUGACGCUGAGACACGAAAGCGUGGGUAGCAAACAGG